GAUUAUCAUAGAGUCGGGUUGUUUGGGAAUGCAGCCUAAAAAGGGUGGUAAAUCUCAUCUAAAGCUAAAUAUUUGGUAAGAGACCGAUAGAAAACAAGUACCGUGAGGGAAAGAUGAAAAGAACUUUGAAAAGAGAGUUAAAAGUACUUGAAAUUGUUAACUGGGAACCGCUUAAAAUUCUAAUCUCUUAAUUCUAUUAAAUCAUCUUCUUCAAGGGUGGAUCACAUUAAAUAGAUGUAACUCAGUUGCUCUAUGAGUGGGUGAAGUCAGAGAGGAAGUGCACUUUUAGUAGAAUUAUAAUCAACAUGAAUUUUAAGAAACUUAGAAAAAUAGAAGAAAGGUAGUAGUCUUAUCUUCGGGUAUUACUAUGUUAUAAUCUUUUAUUGAAUGAGUUACUUAAGAUUGAGGAAUCAAUGUACUCCUCUAUGGAUUGUGAUAUUAGGUUCAUGGAAGGGAUAAAGUAGCAGACUGUAACAGUGUGAUAUUUUAUUCAAUUCAUUAUACUUAAUAGCAAAAAGUACAUUAGAGAUGUUGAU
This 536-nucleotide ribosomal RNA is filed under the name uncultured eukaryote. Its description in RNAcentral is "eukaryotic LSU rRNA". It matches the Rfam family "Eukaryotic large subunit ribosomal RNA", at positions 252 to 629 of the family's 3401-position model. The record is from RNAcentral.